AUUGAACGCUGGCGGCAGGCUUAACACAUGCAAGUCGAGCGGGGUGAUGGUGCUUGCACUAUCACUUAGCGGCGGACGGGUGAGUAAUGCUUAGUAAUCUGCCCAUUAGUGGGGGACAACAUCCCGAAAGGAAUGCUAAUACCGCAUACGCCCUACGGGGGAAAGCAGGGGAUCUUCGGACCUUGCGCUAACAGAUGAGCCUAAGUCGGAUUAGCUAGUUGGUGGGGUAAAGGCCUACCAAGGCGACGAUCUGUAGCGGGUCUGAGAGGAUGAUCCGCCACACUGGGACUGAGACACGGCCCAGACUCCUACGGGAGGCAGCAGUGGGGAAUAUUGGACAAUGGGCGGAAGCCUGAUCCAGCCAUGCCGCGUGUGUGAAGAAGGCCUUUUGGUUGUAAAGCACUUUAAGCGAGGAGGAGGCUCCUUUAGUUAAUACCUAAAGAGAGUGGACGUUACUCGCAGAAUAAGCACCGGCUAACUCUGUGCCAGCCGCCGCAGUAA
RNAcentral lists this ribosomal RNA (501 nucleotides) under uncultured bacterium. Its description in RNAcentral is "partial 16S ribosomal RNA". It matches the Rfam family "Bacterial small subunit ribosomal RNA", at positions 30 to 523 of the family's 1533-position model. The record is from RNAcentral.